This is a non-coding RNA of Salmo salar (Atlantic salmon), 76 nucleotides long. NCBI's taxonomy places the organism in Eukaryota, Metazoa, Chordata, Actinopteri, Salmoniformes, Salmonidae. The record is from Rfam.
AAUGCACCAAUUUGUAAGUCGCUCUGGAUAAGUCUACCAGUUAUAUACAGUAAGAGCGUCUGCUAAAUGACGUAAA